GGGGAAAAAGGGUGAAAAAUAAAAGUUUAGGGGAGAAAGAAAAAGUUUUGACGGUUGGGGGAGUAAAAUUUUAGGGGGAAAGUAAAUGGGGGAAAAUGGGUUUGGGGUAGAUGAGGCUGGGAUAGGAGGGGAAUAAAAGUUAUAGGGGAAGUGAGAGGGAGUAAAAGUUUUAAGGGAAAGUAAGAGGGAGUAAAAGUAUUGGGGGCAAGUAAAAAGGUUUGGGGAAAAAUAUAAAAUAUUAUAGUUUGGUAUUUGAUUUAUUCGAAUUAUUUGAGUUAUUCGAAUUUUAACAUUGAACUCGAUUCAAACUCGAAAUUUGAAAAAAAUCGAAUUGACUCGAAUAACUCAAUUUGUUUAACUAAAAAUUCAAUUUUUUUUUAUUUUUUUAGUCUAAUCGAUUUUUGC
This 405-nucleotide long non-coding RNA is filed under the name Gossypium raimondii (Peruvian cotton). Its description in RNAcentral is "long non-coding RNA (GRAI_LNC010769)". Lineage: Eukaryota; Viridiplantae; Streptophyta; Magnoliopsida; Malvales; Malvaceae. The record is from RNAcentral.